Equus caballus (horse) is the source of this 2627-nucleotide long non-coding RNA. RefSeq lists it as uncharacterized. Lineage: Eukaryota; Metazoa; Chordata; Mammalia; Perissodactyla; Equidae. The record is from RefSeq and is a predicted model, not a curated record.
GUCGAUUCUAGUGAGUUCUGUGCAGCAGUAGGGACUGAGAAUAUAAAAAGAGACAACACUUCACAGAUGUGGGUAAUUUCAGAAAAGUGGAGACGAGGAGGGGGCAGGCUGUGGGGCCUGAGGAAAGCAUCACUACUAUAGUCAGGGACACCUGAAGCUUCCAUACGCUUUGCAGACUCAUUCAUGUGGGGAAGCACACAUCUUCUUUCUGUGUUUACUCUUCCAGAUUCUCCCUCCCACUUGGGAACUUCUCCGGCUGGAUUUUAAAGCUGUGGUUUUAAAGCUGGCCCCUCGGACCUCAGCAGAUUGGUUUGAUCAUGACGGUUCCCAAGACAAUGACUACACAAAGCAGAGCAGAAAUGAGAUAUUUCUAGUGUAAGCAACAUUUUAGUAAAGAAGACGAAUUGGGGUGAGUGGACCCCAACUUCUUGAAAUUGGAAGUCUACCUGGUUGAGAUUCACUGGAUAGUUAUCUCUCGACUGCCUUUGGCCACAGAAAGGCCCAUAGCUGUAGUUCAGAGAAAGCGAAACCCAGCGAAAAGGAUCCCAUCAUAAAUCAUAAGCCGGAAAGUUUGCUGACCCCUGACGUGAGUCCACAAGUUCCUAGAGCUUCGAGGAGCUUCGCUGGCCUCUCUGUGAGCAAUCUCUGAUGGGAGAAGGAAGAGAGUGUGGAGGACGUCGUGGGAGGUGUUAGGACCAGGCCUGGAGAAGCUGUCUGUGCCUGGUGUCUGCGCCCCUUUGGGCAGAACACAAUCCAUGGCUGUAGCUACCUGCCAGGGAGAACAGGAAAUCAGGCCAGCUCUGGGGCUGGGAGGAAAAGGAAUCUGGCUGAUGAAAAUGCAGGUGUCCCAAGGCACACGAGGUUAACUGCUGGAAGAAUUAAAGAGGCAGUCGUUAAAGAGUUCAGGAAAAGGCCAGAGCACUUCAGUCUGAGCUUGGGAGGCUAUCACGGUGGUUUCCCAGAAGAGGUGGAAGUCUGAUCGUCAGUCAUGAAGAGGGUGGGAAAAGCAGCUCCUGCGUGUUCCGGAAGGCCUCCAGCUACUUCAGAGCCUGCGCCUCUCCCCGUGUCCUUCUCCGCCCAGUUCAGAACGUUCCCAGCACUUUGGUGCUCACAGGUCUCAGACUCAAGGUCAGGACACUUUUCACAAGCCCUUCAUAGAAGACUUUCCUUGCAUCCCUCAGGCUGCUGAAAACACAGGAUUUGCCCUUUAUUAUCCAGUUCUUUAGCACAUAAUGUAAGUCUGACAGUGACAAUUCUAUGCUAUUCAUCUUCAUUAUCAGACUUUGUUCUUGAGUCUCUCACUGGCUGCGUUUCAGAAAUGAAAUAAGCCACUCUCCCUUCAGGUCUUGAUUCUGGCUAAGAGGAGGUUCCCAGCUCAGGUGGACACAUCCGUCUCCUGGUGCCUCACCGUGGGCAUGUCCGUGCCCUGUUCCGGGAGAGAAGCUCGGCUGUUCGAGUCUCCCUAUGUAACAGAGUUUUCAAGAGUGUAAACAACCAUCUGGUUUCUUCCUACAGAAAGAGACAAGAAAAUAUUUCUGGGAGUCGUGAAUAUUCUACUUCUCAAACAUUUCUUUGAGCUUCUUUUUCUUUUUGUUGUAUAUUUCAUGGGGAGUUUUCAAUUCUGAAUAAUAAUAUAUGUUUGUCUCAUGAGAACAACCUGAGUUGCAAAUACUCAUUUUUAAGCUUCUCUGCUUAGAGCAAUCAGUUUCAUAAAUUAUGCAUCUGUUACGUGAUAUGCAUUUUCCAACAGGUAGUCUAAAGCCAUCCCACGUGAAUGCUCAUUUUCACAUUAAAGUUAGAAGAUGCCUGGAAGCCUGAUUUUCUGCCUUUUUUUUUUUUGGCUGAGAGGCAGAUACUCUUCUUUUGAAAACCUUAUUUAUUCCUGAUGGGAAGUUUUAUUUCUAUCUUCAGAAACAUCAUUUUAGAUUUGUGUAAUCAGUUCAGCAAACUGCUGCUUAAAGUGAUAAAUAACUAUCAAAUUAAACUUGCAAUUAAAGUUUACUAAAAAUAUAGGUUGCUAUAAUUUUGUUGGUGAUAGAUGUACAGAAGUAGACAUGAUUAAUGAUGAUUACUAAUUAUGCAGCUGUGUGCACAGCAUACAAGUCUCAGAACCAUGGGUUGGCAGCUAAAUAAGAGCUUCAUCCUCGGGAAGCCUCUGUUUCUAGUCAGCUCGUUUCUAGUCAGGACUUUAACACCCCCUCCACCUGCUGUCCCUUAGCUCGACAAAGACACCCAGAAAAACAGAGCUGAAUGGCCACCUCAUCUCUCCUUUCCUUUGUUGUUGUUUUGUUGACUCUUAGAUUCGAGUCUAAAAACAAAUGCCAUCAAUGAGAGAAAUGAUCAGAUAUUAAUAAUGGUAUAGAGGGAAUCAUCUUGUUAAAAUUCUGACUUCUUUCUUUCCUAAAUUUUGGAUGACUUGUCUUGGCAUUUCAUAUUAAAGAUGACUCAGUGGUGAGGCUAAUGGAAAUCACUAUAAAGUAAAAUCCUUAAUAUUUGACUUACUGACAGAAGACCUGGGUUUGAUGACUUCCUCUGUAACUUGAAAUAAGGAAACCUACGAAUUAGAUACCUCUCAAAUUUUUUUCCUUUUUUUUGAGGAAGAUUAGCCCUGAGCUAACAUCUGCCAC